This 91-nucleotide transfer RNA is filed under the name Danio rerio (zebrafish). It matches the Rfam family "tRNA". Rfam says of the family: Transfer RNA (tRNA) molecules are approximately 80 nucleotides in length. Their secondary structure includes four short double-helical elements and three loops (D, anti-codon, and T loops). Lineage: Eukaryota; Metazoa; Chordata; Actinopteri; Cypriniformes; Danionidae. The record is from Rfam by way of RNAcentral.
GGCUCCGUGGCGCAAUGGAUAGCGCAUUGGACUUCUAGGAAAGCCUCUCGAGGGGAUUCAAAGGUUGUGGGUUCGAGUCCCACCGGAGUCG